AGUUCCAAAUCCUUCCUAUUCUUUGGAAGGUGGUUCAAGUGUUCAUUGUGUUCAUCAUGUGCAUUGCACACCAUUUCAUAUGUCAUCAAUGAGCCGAUAAGUUCUUCAAGUGGAAAAAUAUUUAAAUCUUUUAUUUCUUGUAUUGCCGUUACUUUUGAUUCCCAAGCUUUAGAAAGUGAUUGUAAAACUUUACUAACAAGUUCAAAAUUUGAGAAACAUUUGCCAAGAGCUUGUAAACCAUUAACGAUAUCCGUAAAACGGGUGUACAUGUCAACAAUGGUUUCGCUCGGCUUCAUUCGAAAAAGCUCGAAAUCAUGCAUUAAAAUAUUGAUUUUCGAAUCUUUAAC
This 347-nucleotide long non-coding RNA is filed under the name Musa acuminata (dwarf banana). Its description in RNAcentral is "long non-coding RNA (MACU_LNC010812)". The record is from RNAcentral. Lineage: Eukaryota; Viridiplantae; Streptophyta; Magnoliopsida; Zingiberales; Musaceae.